Molecule: small nucleolar RNA, 212 nt
Organism: Lycium barbarum (goji berry)
Lineage: Eukaryota; Viridiplantae; Streptophyta; Magnoliopsida; Solanales; Solanaceae
Product: small nucleolar RNA U3
Exons: 1
Source: RefSeq, a predicted model, not a curated record
UCAAUCAUUAAACAGGAUCUGUUCUAUAGGCUCGUACCACCUUAUCCUUGAGUUCUAAGGAGACAUGAAACCAAGUUUGGUGGAUGAGUUGUGGCCAUUAGAUCAUAGCGUGAUUAAUAGCAACCAUUGCUCGUUGGUUGAUGGAGCCGUAGACGAUCGCUCUCAGCCUGGUUCGUCGGGCUUGAGAUGGUCUCGUGGCUGUCUGACAGACU